Hippopotamus amphibius kiboko is the source of this 104-nucleotide small nuclear RNA. The record is from RefSeq and is a predicted model, not a curated record. Lineage: Eukaryota; Metazoa; Chordata; Mammalia; Artiodactyla; Hippopotamidae.
AAUGCAUACAUACAUACAUAAAUAAAGUUGGAACAAUACAGAGAAUAUUAGCAUGGCCCCUGCCCAAGGAUGACACGCACAUUCUUGAAGUGUUCCAUAUUUAA